ACACACACACACACACACACACCGGGAAACCAUUGACGCCGUCGAGACCUGGCUUGAUAAACACCACCUGAAACUCGCCAAGCAUAAAACCGAGAUGGUUGUUCUGACACGUCAAAAAUGGUUCCCAAAACCAUUCACUGUGGACAUGGGAGGAACAACACUGACGUCAACAAGGGUCCUGCGCUAUCUAGGGGUAAUGAUAGACGAGAAGCUAUCUUUCCGCGAACAACUUGACAGUG
This is a long non-coding RNA of Cotesia glomerata, 239 nucleotides long. RefSeq lists it as uncharacterized. NCBI's taxonomy places the organism in Eukaryota, Metazoa, Arthropoda, Insecta, Hymenoptera, Braconidae. The transcript is spliced from 3 exons. The record is from RefSeq and is a predicted model, not a curated record.